GGUGCUGCUGGGCAGCAGGGACAGCCAGGUGAAGGGAAGCUCUCACUCAGCUCCACGCCAGGAGCCAGAAGACGCAAACCAAAAGACAGCAGAGGCGUUCAACCUCUGAACAGAAACCGCCCCUCUCCCCGGAGCGUCCAAUUACCCCCGAGGAGCCCCAUUGCCACCGCUCCUCCUUUUCCUCCAGGAGGAACGGAAGCCGUGAUUUCAGUGCCUGCACCACGCAGCACCGCCGCCCCAUCAGUACUCAUCCAACGUGUCAGCCCUGGGCACCGCCAGGCCGCGCUCCUUCAGCGCCUGCACCUUCAGCUUCUCCGACUCCUGCUUGGCCUGCAGCUCCACGCGCUGCUCCUCCAGGAUCUCCUCGAUGGACACCUGCUGCAGCAGCGUGUCGCUCUCCUUCUCCAGGUCCUGCAAGCAAAGAGCUGCGUUAGCAGAGCUGCGGGGCGGGGGGCUGCGGGGCGCGGGGCUCACUCACGAUCUCCCCCAGCAGCACCACGUUCUCUCCCCUCACGACGAAGAUCCCUCGGGGGAUGUCCCCAUACUUCUUGCCCACGUGAAUGCGCUCCACGGUCUGAUGCAGCACCAGAUUUGCUG
RNAcentral lists this long non-coding RNA (597 nucleotides) under Gallus gallus (chicken). RNAcentral's name for it is "long non-coding RNA NONGGAT005047". Lineage: Eukaryota; Metazoa; Chordata; Aves; Galliformes; Phasianidae. The record is from RNAcentral.